ACAGAGGGUGCAAACGUUGUUCGGAAUUACUGGGCGUAAAGCGCGUGUAGGCUGCUUGGAAAGUCGGGUGUGAAAGCCCUGGGCUCAACCCAGGAAGUGCACUCGAAACUUCCAAGCUCGAGUCCUGGAGAGGGUGGCGGAAUUCUCGGUGUAGAGGUGAAAUUCGUAGAUAUCGAGAGGAACACCUGUGGCGAAGGCGGCCACCUGGACAGUGACUGACGCUGAGACGCGAAAGCGUGGGGAGCAAACAGGA
This 253-nucleotide ribosomal RNA is filed under the name uncultured prokaryote. RNAcentral describes it as "partial 16S ribosomal RNA". It matches the Rfam family "Bacterial small subunit ribosomal RNA", at positions 525 to 777 of the family's 1533-position model. The record is from RNAcentral.